RNAcentral lists this ribosomal RNA (253 nucleotides) under uncultured bacterium. Its description in RNAcentral is "partial 16S ribosomal RNA". It matches the Rfam family "Bacterial small subunit ribosomal RNA", at positions 524 to 776 of the family's 1533-position model. The record is from RNAcentral.
UACGUAGGUGGCAAGCGUUGUCCGGAAUUACUGGGCGUAAAGGGCGCGUAGGCGGCCUGCUAAGUCGAACGUGAAAUCCCUCGGCUUAACCGGGGAACUGCAUCUGAUACUGGAUGGCUUGAGAUUGGGAGAGGGAUGCGGAAUUCCAGGUGUAGCGGUGAAAUGCGUAGAUAUCUGGAGGAACACCGGUGGCGAAGGCGGCAUCCUGGACCAACACUGACGCUGAGGAGCGAAAGCCAGGGGAGCAAACGGG